This 69-nucleotide transfer RNA is filed under the name Dibamus novaeguineae. RNAcentral describes it as "tRNA-His". It matches the Rfam family "tRNA". Rfam says of the family: Transfer RNA (tRNA) molecules are approximately 80 nucleotides in length. Their secondary structure includes four short double-helical elements and three loops (D, anti-codon, and T loops). The record is from RNAcentral. Lineage: Eukaryota; Metazoa; Chordata; Lepidosauria; Squamata; Dibamidae.
GUUAAUAUAGUUUCAAUAAAACAUUAGAUUGUGGAUCUAAAAAUAGAAGUUAAAACCUUCUUAUUAACC